CAGUCGCCGCGGUAAAACGAGGGGGGCAAGCGUUGUUCGGGAUUAUUGGGCGUAAAGGGCGCGUAGGCGGUUUGGCAAGUUUGGUGUGAAAUCUUCGGGCUCAACUCGAAGUCUGCAUCGAAAACUGCCGGGCUUGAGUAUGGGAGAGGUGAGUGGAAUUUCCGGUGUAGUGGUGAAAUGCGUAGAUAUCGGAAGGAACACCUGUGACGAAAGCGGCUCACUGGACCAUAACUGACGCUGAGGCGCGAAAGCUAGGGGAGCAAACAGGAUUAGAGACCCCCGUAGUCCCUGUCUCUUAUAC
This 301-nucleotide ribosomal RNA is filed under the name uncultured bacterium. RNAcentral's name for it is "partial 16S ribosomal RNA". It matches the Rfam family "Bacterial small subunit ribosomal RNA", at positions 509 to 807 of the family's 1533-position model. The record is from RNAcentral.